Molecule: ribosomal RNA, 1437 nt
Filed under: human gut metagenome
Description: bacterial LSU rRNA
Rfam family: Bacterial large subunit ribosomal RNA
Source: RNAcentral
AAACCGUGUACGUACAAGCAGUGGGAGCACCUUCGGGUGUGACUGCGUACCUUUUGUAUAAUGGGUCAGCGACUUAUAUUCUGUAGCAAGGUUAACCGUAUAGGGGAGCCGCAGGGAAACCGAGUCUUAACUGGGCGUUAAGUUGCAGGGUAUAGACCCGAAACCCGGUGAUCUAGCCAUGGGCAGGUUGAAGGUUGGGUAACACUAACUGGAGGACCGAACCGACUAAUGUUGAAAAAUUAGCGGAUGACUUGUGGCUGGGGGUGAAAGGCCAAUCAAACCGGGAGAUAGCUGGUUCUCCCCGAAAGCUAUUUAGGUAGCGCCUCGUGAAUUCAUCUUCGGGGGUAGAGCACUGUUUCGGCUAGGGGGUCAUCCCGACUUACCAACCCGAUGCAAACUACGAAUACCGAAGAAUGUUAUCACGGGAGACACACGGCGGGUGCUAACGUCCGUCGUGAAGAGGGAAACAACCCAGACCGCCAGCUAAGGUCCCAAAGUCAUGGUUAAGUGGGAAACGAUGUGGGAAGGCACAGACAGCCAGGAUGUUGGCUUAGAAGCAGCCAUCAUUUAAAGAAAGCGUAAUAGCUCACUGGUCGAGUCGGCCUGCGCGGAAGAUGUAACGGGGCUAAACCAUGCACCGAAGCUGCGGCAGCGACACUAUGUGUUGUUGGGUAGGGGAGCGUUCUGUAAGCCUGCGAAGGUGUGCUGUGAGGCAUGCUGGAGGUAUCAGAAGUGCGAAUGCUGACAUAAGUAACGAUAAAGCGGGUGAAAAGCCCGCUCGCCGGAAGACCAAGGGUUCCUGUCCAACGUUAAUCGGGGCAGGGUGAGUCGACCCCUAAGGCGAGGCCGAAAGGCGUAGUCGAUGGGAAACAGGUUAAUAUUCCUGUACUUGGUGUUACUGCGAAGGGGGGACGGAGAAGGCUAUGUUAGCCGGGCGACGGUUGUCCCGGUUUAAGCAUGUAGGCUGGUUGUCCAGGCAAAUCCGGAUAAUCAAGGCUGAGGUGUGAUGACGAGGCACUACGGUGCUGAAGUAACAAAUGCCCUGCUUCCAGGAAAAGCCUCUAAGCAUCAGGUAACAUCAAAUCGUACCCCAAACCGACACAGGUGGUCAGGUAGAGAAUACCAAGGCGCUUGAGAGAACUCGGGUGAAGGAACUAGGCAAAAUGGUGCCGUAACUUCGGGAGAAGGCACGCUGGUGUGUAGGUGAAGUCCCUGCGGAUGGAGCUGAGACCAGUCGAAGAUACCAGCUGGCUGCAACUGUUUAUUAAAAACACAGCACUGUGCAAACACGAAAGUGGACGUAUACGGUGUGACGCCUGCCCGGUGCCGGAAGGUUAAUUGAUGGGGUUAUCCGUAAGGAGAAGCUCUUGAUCGAAGCCCCGGUAAACGGCGGCCGUAACUAUAACGGUCCUAAGGUAGCGAAAUUCCUUGUCGGGU